UCAUCAAUGGCAUAACUCUCCGCUUGUUUUUGUGGCAGUUUGCUCACUGACUUCAUUGUAAACAAGAUUAUGCCUACCUUGCAAUACAUUUGCACCUUGUAGUAGGCAGCAGAAUUUGGCACCAAACUGCAUUACCAUGGCUGCAUAAUGUGCACAGUACAUCUAUACUUCCGAUUAACAAGGCAUAGCAGUGAUUUACCUGUGUACAUGGGUAUAUAUCUGCUGUCUUUCUUUCCAGACAGUCUUUACAAAUUUGUGUCAUCCAAGUAUAAGAUGACACUCAUAAGAUGAAUAGAUUAAAAGAACCCCUAGAUCAAUUAAAAAGACAAUAAGCUUUUUCAAAUUGACAUAUAUGUAAAGACUUGAAAGAAAUAUUAAUGAUGGAUAAUAUGAAAUCUCCAAUUCUAGUCUAACAAAGAAAGUCAAGAAUUUUAUUAGUGGAAAUAUUAACAAGUUCCUAUCUUAUCUGAGAAAACAGUAGUUUAAAUGAUAAAAAUGUCUCAACUGUAAAUAUUUUGAUAUCCACAAAAAAAAAUUGAUUUGUGC
This is a long non-coding RNA of Harpia harpyja (harpy eagle), 546 nucleotides long. RefSeq lists it as uncharacterized. The transcript is spliced from 3 exons. Lineage: Eukaryota; Metazoa; Chordata; Aves; Accipitriformes; Accipitridae. The record is from RefSeq and is a predicted model, not a curated record.